ACGGCUUACCAAGGCAACGAUCAGUAGCCGACCUGAGAGGGUGACCGGCCACAUUGGGACUGAGACACGGCCCAAACUCCUACGGGAGGCAGCAGUGGGGAAUAUUGCACAAUGGGGGAAACCCUGAUGCAGCAACGCCGCGUGAAGGAAGAAGGUCUUCGGAUUGUAAACUUUUGUCCUCAGUGAAGAUAAUGACGGUAGCUGAGGAGGAAGCUCCGGCUAACUAC
This 227-nucleotide ribosomal RNA is filed under the name uncultured bacterium. Its description in RNAcentral is "partial 16S ribosomal RNA". It matches the Rfam family "Bacterial small subunit ribosomal RNA", at positions 260 to 504 of the family's 1533-position model. The record is from RNAcentral.